UACAGGGGGGGCAAGCGUUGUUCGGAAUUACUGGGCGUAAAGGGUUCGUAGGUGGCCACUUAAGUCAGACGUGAAAUCCCUCAGCUUAACUGGGGAACUGCGUCUGAUACUGGAUGGCUUGAGUGCAGGAGAGGAAUGCGGAAUUCCAGGUGUAGCGGUGAAAUGCGUAGAUAUCUGGAGGAACACCGGUGGCGAAGGCGGCAUCCUGGACCGAGAUUGACGCUGAGGCGCGAAAGCCAGGGGAGCAAACGGG
This 253-nucleotide ribosomal RNA is filed under the name uncultured bacterium. RNAcentral describes it as "partial 16S ribosomal RNA". It matches the Rfam family "Bacterial small subunit ribosomal RNA", at positions 524 to 776 of the family's 1533-position model. The record is from RNAcentral.